CUAGAGCUGGCAUGUCAGUUAACUGCUAGUAGUCUGUUGUUAUUUAUGUAUUAUUGUCAUUUUAUUUAUUUUCUUUUGUUACAUCUUCUGACAUCGGACUCGGACUUUUCUUGAACUGAAUUUUAAUGUAUUGUUAUGCGUUUACCUUUCUACAUUGGCUAGAGGUAAAGGGGAGGGUUGAGAUCUCAUAAACAUGUUUAACCCCG
This 206-nucleotide long non-coding RNA is filed under the name Mytilus galloprovincialis (Mediterranean mussel). Lineage: Eukaryota; Metazoa; Mollusca; Bivalvia; Mytilida; Mytilidae. The record is from RNAcentral.